CGAUUAAUUAUUGAUGAGGGUAAGACGCGAUAUAAAUUGUUCAGUUUUUGAUGCACAAAUCCAGUAGUAGCACCGCUAGACUUAGUAACUCCAGUAACCAUUGUGCCACCGAAAACAACACAAGGUCCAGAUCACUAGUACCGACGAACAUUUAGUAACGGUUACUGACGUAUACAAACUUUAUUUCUUCAAAGACCAUUUUCACACUUUCGUUUUAAGUGUUUUCGGAAUCUGAUUGUAACUUAACAGAUAAAAAUGAAAGUAGUAAUGAUCAAAAUAGUCAUGGUAGUUGUGUUAUUUGCUCUAAAUAUCAAAGUUUCAGAAUCAACCACACAGGAUUUAAUAGCAGAAGAACGACCCAGUUUAUUUCUUUCAUAUUUAUGUUUGCAAAGUGAACAUUUUAAAGAUUUUUGCUUAAAUGAUAUGGAGUCUAAGUCUAACGGUCCUGUUCAAAAUCUUUUGAGGAAUUUAAAAGCUCAAAGACAGCAGAAAUCAAGACAGUUGGGUAAUGAUGACUUAGUCAAGUUAGAAACGCCGACGAAACGAAGAACAGAAAAAGAAUCUGGAUUUUAUAGUAACUGGUGAGAAGAUGACCAAACGACCAAUGUAUUUCCAUCUACAUUACAUUGAAUCAAACCGUUUAUCAUCAACUUAUUUGUCAUAUUAUUCAUUUUAUGUCCAUCAGACUUGACAUAUACAGUUCAUUAUUUCGAACUCUGUUAACUCGAAAACCUGAGACAUGCCGAAUUAAUUUAAAAUCGCACAGAUGUGAAUGGAUGGUACUAUUUUAAAUGUGAUGAAUACGGAUAUAAAGGAAUUUGUAACUUCUUUAUGAUUUCCAGCAAAUCCUCCCUUUCAUCAUGUUAAAACGCUCUUUAAUUUGUUUAGAUGAAAAUAUGAGAAUACCCUUGUAUAUUGCCUUAUUAGGUUUAAUGUUUUGUAUAAUUGCUGAUUAUAGCGUAUUAAGAAUAUCCACAUAGCAUUCCAUUAAGCUAAAUCGUUUAUGAGCGGUAUAAAAUGCCUCCUUUGAAAUAGAACUACACAAUUUUAUUGAUAAGUGAACAAUAAUAUUGGUCGUUAAAAUAUAACUUAUCCCACUUCGUCUCUCAAAAGCUAGGUUUUUUUUAAAUUGUAUUGCCAUCACAUUCUUUUAGACUUUAAAUGUUUUAUUAAAUUAUAUUGUUACUUUUCUAUUAAGUCCUACUUAGAUAUCAAAAUUAUUUCUUUAGGACUUUCUUUUUUCACGGUUUUUAGUUGAAAUUUGGUUGUCAUACAUUACAGUAUCCAGAUGGAAAAAAAGGUUAAUAAAUUGAAAAAAAAUAUUACAUAUUGAAACUA
Long non-coding RNA from Patella vulgata (common limpet), 1338 nucleotides. RefSeq lists it as uncharacterized. The transcript has 4 exons. The record is from RefSeq and is a predicted model, not a curated record. NCBI's taxonomy places the organism in Eukaryota, Metazoa, Mollusca, Gastropoda, Patellidae.